Zonotrichia leucophrys gambelii is the source of this 3278-nucleotide RNA transcript. It is a transcript of the gene named adrenoceptor alpha 1A, with no coding region annotated. The record is from RefSeq and is a predicted model, not a curated record. NCBI's taxonomy places the organism in Eukaryota, Metazoa, Chordata, Aves, Passeriformes, Passerellidae. The transcript is spliced from 4 exons.
GCAGGGCACGGAUCCCUCCAGGGAGCCUGGAGCCAGCCCCUCAAGCCGCGGGAUACGGGGAAUCAGCCCCACUGCCAGCUGCUGAAACACCAGUGGGGCAAUAAAGGGAGCAAAGCCGAGGAUUUCCAAGCUCGGAGCCCCAUCUCCGCAUGAAAGAGGAGCCUGCUGUGCUGAGAAUCUCCUUCCCAGAUGCUCACAGGAGCUGUGCUGCCUUCUGAAGACUGAAGAGGGGGGUGAGGAUCUGCAGAGAGCACGAGAGCAUGGCCCUGUGCACACGGCAAACUCCACUCUUCCCCUCAGAGCAAGCCAGGAGCUGAUGUACAUGAGCUUUAAUUUGCAGCCCAGGACCUCGACUGAUGAGUGCUCCACGUAUGGAAAGCUCUGACUGACAGCCUAAACCCUGGAUGGGGAGUGAUGGGUAUCUCAAACAAAACUGCCGAGCAGACACAGCAGCAACCUCCACCCAGUCAGGUUUCUAAGCCAACUUUAAGGCAGAAUCAGGACUAACACCAGGCAAUUAAAAGCAUCAGUGAUUUCCUCUCAGGAGAAGCUAAAUUGGAGACCCUUUGGAAUAUUUACUUUCCUUAAGUACAGAAAACCUUCCCCAAAAGACAGAAAUUAUUUGAACCUUCAGCUCCAGUAUUUCUUAUCACAUAGCCCUGGAAAGUGGGACAAACAGCCUCAGCUUUUUGUAUCCCCACUUGUGCACCCCAAGGAAAAUGCAGAAGGAGUUAAAUUUGACUUGGAACUUGUGAGUAUCAACCAUGUUAUUCUGGUGAAAGCUUAGGAGAAAGGGUAGGUUUUCUAAUAUGUUUCUGGAUAUUUCUCAUCGCUUCUGGUCCUGCAGUCCUAAAACAUUCUUCAAAACUUUUUUCCCCAGCAAGGCUAAGCAAAUGUUUCCUAUAGGACCUUCCUGAUCUUGUCACUGUUCCUGCCUGGAAAGGGGGUGAAGUUCAGCAGCCUCACAUGGACAUUAUCAGCCAUGGCUUUCCUUCCUGGAAACUCCUCUGAGUGCUCCAACUGCACCCACUCUGUGGAGCCCGUGAACAUUUCCAAGGCCAUCUUAUUGGGUGUUAUUCUAGGGGGGCUGAUUGUCUUUGGGGUUUUGGGUAAUAUCCUGGUUAUCCUGUCCGUAGCCUGCCACAGACACCUCCAGAGUGUCACUCACUAUUACAUCAUCAACCUGGCUGUAGCUGACCUCCUCCUGACUUCUACUGUCCUGCCCUUCUCAGCCACCAUGGAGAUUUUGGGCUACUGGGUCUUUGGGAGGAUCUUCUGCAACAUCUGGGCAGCUGUUGAUGUGCUUUGCUGUACUGCUUCCAUCAUGAGCCUCUGCAUCAUCUCCAUUGAUCGAUACAUCGGGGUGAGCUACCCACUGAGGUACCCCAGCAUAGUGACAGAGAGGAGGGGCCUCUUGGCCCUGCUGUGUGUCUGGGCACUGUCCCUGGUCAUCUCCAUUGGGCCCCUUUUCGGCUGGAAGGAGCCAGCCCCCGAGGAUGAGACAAUCUGCCAGAUCACCGAGGAGCCUGGCUACGUCUUGUUCUCAGCACUGGGCUCCUUCUACCUGCCCCUGAUCAUCAUCCUGGUGAUGUACUGCCGGGUCUACGUGGUGGCCAAAAGGGAAAACAAAGGGCUGACCUCUGGGCUGAAGACAGAGAAAUCCCAUUCCGAGGAGGUGACCCUCCGCAUCCACCGCAAAAACAUCCCUGGUGCAAGCAGCUCUGCAGCCAACCCCAAGAGCAAGCACCACUUCUCUGUGCGCCUGCUCAAGUUCUCCAGGGAAAAGAAAGCUGCCAAGACCCUGGGAAUAGUUGUGGGAUGCUUCGUUCUCUGCUGGCUCCCAUUUUUUGUAGUAAUGCCUCUUGGCUCUUUCUUUCCUGCAAUCAAACCCCCGGACACACUUUUUAAAAUAACAUUUUGGCUGGGAUAUUUAAACAGCUGCAUCAACCCCAUCAUCUAUCCAUGCUCAAGUCAAGAGUUCAAGAAAGCAUUCCAUAACGUCCUGAGAGCUCAGUGCCUCCUGAGGAAGCAGCCAGCAGUGAAGCAAACACCCAGCUUCAACCUCAACCAUCCUGCAGGCCAGAGCAUGGAGGGUGGCAAAGGGGUGGUCCGGAUCCCUGUGGGAUCAGGAGAAACCUUCUACAAGAUCUCCAAGUCAGACGGGGUUUGUGAGUGGAAGAUCUUCUCCGCCGUGCAGGGUGUGCCCACCAAAAAUGCUGUUUCCAAAGACUGCACAGCUGCCAAAGCUAAGAGCAAAGGGUUCCUGCAGGAAUGCUGCUGUGCAGGCACUUCAGGGAGUCUUGUCCACGAGAACUGCAAAGUGCCAACCAUCAAAAUCCACUCAAUCUCCCUGAGUGAGAGUGGGGAGGAUGUAUAACCAGCUGGGUGCGCCAGGCUGGCAGCUUGGGGACCUCAUGGGAUGUCACUCUUUUUAUGGGGAAGUAGGAAUAGGCAUGAUAAUUGAAAGGAUCCAGGUAUGAACAGGUGAAACAGGGCCAAAUCUUCAGAGGAAGGAUGUCUGUGAGUGCUGGGAGCAUGAAUGGAGCCCCUCAAAGACAGUGCAUGGCUUCAGUGGAUGUUAUUCUGAGAGUUCAGCAUCUGCCAGGUGUUUCCUUGGCAUUUAAAAGCUUUACCUCUUUAUUCUCCUCCCUUAAAGUUCCCACUGCUCUCAUUUAGGCAAUGGAGGAGAAAGUGAGAACCACAAAGACCCUGUGCUGAUUUCAGCCUUUGACACUCUCUGGCAGCUCCACCUUCAGAGCCAUUUUGUGAUUCCACGCCUCCCCAUGAAGCCAAACCUCACCUUUGGAUUUCAGUCAACUCCAUUGCCAAGGAAAACUUGAUCCAAGUGACUGCACUCCACCAAGCUUCAGAGACCAAGGAGAACUUUUUCUUUUUGUACAAUCAGCCUCCCUUAUCUCCACACCAUACCAAAUGAAAAUUUGCAUGUGUACCUGGUUUGUUCUGACGAUCCAUGUGCCUUGAUGCAGGUCUAAUAAAACUCAAAACUAGAUUCUAAAGAAUGUGUCUGUGUGCAGUGACGCUGAAAAGAUUCUAGUCCUCAGCAUCAGGUGAGCCUGGUCCCAGCCACACCUCUGCUGCUGCCAGGUUUGCCAGUAACAAGAAACACCAAAUUUGUUUGGCUCCCUCAGAGAAUUUCUGCAGGAAAACUGCCCUGCCCUUGUUUCAAGAAGGGUCAUUGGCACUUGUCAUUUCGGUGGGUAUUUGGACUGAGAAGUCUCAAAAACUAUAGAAGGGGCUCUAGGAAACAGGAAAAAAAA